Diabrotica virgifera virgifera (western corn rootworm) is the source of this 2538-nucleotide long non-coding RNA. RefSeq lists it as uncharacterized. The transcript has 2 exons. The record is from RefSeq and is a predicted model, not a curated record. NCBI's taxonomy places the organism in Eukaryota, Metazoa, Arthropoda, Insecta, Coleoptera, Chrysomelidae.
AUUGUCAAACUAAAAUCCGUUGCGUACGAUGCGGGUGCCCUGAUGAUGCGGGAUACUCGCCCUGAUGGAAUACAAUGUUGCCUAAUUUACUGUUCCGUUCCGUCACAAAUCGUCUGUCAUUCAAGUCAUUCUGUCAAAAACAAAUUUGUUUGGUUUUUUUUCAAAAUUGUUCUAUUUUCUAUUUGGUUCUAUUUUUUAGUCAUGAAGUUAAGUAGUAUCGUGGGAUAUUUGAAGUUCUUGGGUUCUGAAAAUUCAAGAAGUUUUAGAAGGAAAACAAGUUUUAAACUCUGGUCAUCUUAUUUUGGCUGGAAAAAUAGAGGAAAGUUCUGAGCAUACCAUCAAAAUAUAUGGUUUAUUCCUUCAUUAAGGUCCAAUCCCUACGAAAUUAAAGGAAACCUAUCUUUCACAAAUGGCAUAAGCAUUAGCCAAAUGUUAUGUUCUUGUAAAGCAGAAAAUAAUGGAAAAUGUAAACAUGUCUCUACUCUUGUUAAAUGUACAUAAGUAUAAGGGAAGAUGUGAAAUUAAUGGAACAUUCAGUACAUGAGUUGAAAAAAAUGUUAACAGAUUGACAAAUGAAGACCAUUUUUAAUUGAUCUAAACAUUUAUAGAAACAAAGUAUAUGGUUAAUAUAAAAUAUUACCUGCCUGAAGUAACUUGGUGUACAAAUCAAUAGUAACCAUAAUUUUUAUUCCCAGGGCCAGUGAGAAACAAUGUGCAUUUCAUUUCUAAGUGUUCCAAGGAAAGAUCUCCUAAGAAUAAAUAGAUCUGUACAAUGAAGAUUAACCUAAUCUGUUUAACCAUCGAAAUUAUUGUAUUGUUAUAAAAAUAAUAAAUCUCCAUUUCAUAUUAUUUACACUUACAUACAUUAGCCUGGAAUUGCAUUGUGUCUACAUUAGUGGCCAUAGUCACAAACCUACCCUAGUCUACGGAGGUACUGUCUUUUGCAGAUGUGGUAAUACCGGGUUUGAUACAUUAUUGCUAAAUAAAGUUUGUGAAUAGUAACUUUUCACAAAAUAGACAGAGUUUUAAUAGUUUUCACUGUACUUAACGACAUUCUACACAUUCGGCAAAGAAUUAAGGAUUUGCAUGAAAUUUUAGUAUGUUAUAGUUUACUUCAAAAAACUAAGACUUGAUUUUUUAAAAAUUGUUUUACUGUGCCGUUUAAUUACUAUUAAGGGUCAAAGUUAAGUUUUAACAUGGGCUCUUAUGGGAAUUCUUAAAAAGUUAAUAACUUUUGACCCAAAUUUACGAUUUUUAAUUAUUUGUGCUUAAGUUAAAGGUUUUUUUUGUAAGGAAUAACAUAUUAAAAAAUGAGGAUUGUUUACCGUACCAUUUAUUUUUAAUUUAUUUAUUAUAAUUUAUUCCAUAAUUUCCGUAAUUUAUUAUAAUUUAUUUUUAUAAAGUAUUCAAUACUAAAACAUAUGAUUUGAGUAUUCUGCUAUAAAUGCAUUGUUACCAACUUUCGCUUGCAUAUAAGUUUCCCCCCUUUCCUCUGAGAGGCAUACCCCACAACAAAGGUGUAGAACGUCGUUAAAUAUUUUUUAAAUUCAGUGGUAAUAACAUAUUAUAUUUUGUUUUGGUAUUUAAAUUUACCUAAAUAUUUAUAGAAAUAUACUAUACUAAAUUCAAGAUGCAGUAGAAAUAAAUAAACCAAGACACGUUAAAUGCUACUAUGAGCACUCCCGAAUCAUAAUUUACAAUGUAUAUACAUUGUAAAUCCCAAAUCAUGAUUUCCAAAGUUUAUACAUUCUAAAUUAUGAUUCGGGAGUGCUCCUAAUAGUAGCAUUUAACUUGUCUUGAUUUGUUUAUUUCUACUGCAUCUUAAUUUUAAAUUUAGUGUAGAUGUGGCCAUCAUAGGACUCUUACUUAUAGAUGCAAUAAAAUUAUUGGUUUAUUUUCAUUUUAAAUGUUAUACUUCCAGUAUUGUAUGUAGUAUAUUAAAUAUUUUUAACAAGUAGUAUAAGGGCAUAUUAUUAUACUUUGUUAUACAAAAUAGACAUAAAAUUUUGAAACUUUCAGCUUCACUUUUUCAUUGUUUCAAUAUUAAAUCCCAAAUUUAGACUCUCCACCAUUUUCUCAUAAAAAAGUAUGUUCAGUUUUUACCCCAGGUAGACCGAAUCCACCAAAAAAUUGAUGUUACUUAAGUUUUUAAGUAUUAAAAAAAUGCGUUUCAUCAGAUAUACAAAAUAAAUGCAACUGAUUAUGUUCAGAUAGUGGUGUCCCUCUUAAUUUUUAUUCCUAAAAACUUUACUAUUAAACCAAAGUUUUAGUUAAAAAAAAAACAAAAUGUUUGCUUUCUGUGUGGAGUUACAAAAAUAAGUUGAAAUGCUAUUUAAUUUCGUAUUAUUUCCUGGUGAUACUCUGCCAUACUAAUUUUACAUUGUUCUUACAUGCAAGCAUUUGUAAAUAAAUUUACCAUUAAAGGGCGGCCCAAGGUAUAUUCAUCUUAAAUGGGUGGUUGUAGUUUUGUAUAUUUUAUUUUUAUUUUAGUUUUGUAAUAUUUUUAAGAACAAAUAAAAUAAUUAUAAUUAUUCUGAA